GAUGAACGCUGGCGGCGUGCCUAAUACAUGCAAGUCGAGCGAACAGAUGAGGAGCUUGCUCCUCUGACGUUAGCGGCGGACGGGUGAGUAACACGUGGAUAACCUACCUAUAAGACUGGGAUAACUUCGGGAAACCGGAGCUAAUACCGGAUAAUAUAUUGAACCGCAUGGUUCAAUAGUGAAAGACGGUUUUGCUGUCUCUUAUAGAUGGAUCCGCGCCGCAUUAGCUAGUUGGUAAGGUAACGGCUUACCAAGGCAACGAUGCGUAGCCGACCUGAGAGGGUGAUCGGCCACACUGGAACUGAGACAUGGUCCAGACUCCUACGGGAGGCAGCAGUAGGGAAUCUUCCGCAAUGGGCGAAAGCCUGACGGAGCAACGCCGCGUGAGUGAUGAAGGUCUUCGGAUCGUAAAACUCUGUUAUUAGGGAAGAACAAAUGUGUAAGUAACUAUGCACGUCUUGACGGUACCUAAUCAGAAAGCCACGGCUAACUACGUG
Molecule: ribosomal RNA, 497 nt
Filed under: uncultured bacterium
Lineage: Bacteria
Description: partial 16S ribosomal RNA
Rfam family: Bacterial small subunit ribosomal RNA
Source: RNAcentral